This 951-nucleotide small RNA is filed under the name Pan troglodytes (chimpanzee). RNAcentral's name for it is "retained intron". The record is from RNAcentral. Lineage: Eukaryota; Metazoa; Chordata; Mammalia; Primates; Hominidae.
CUUAAUGGAGGGAAACAGAGCUUAAACAAAUGACUACAGAUUUGGAAGGAAGCAGUGCUGUAAAGAAACCUGAAGUAGUGUAAAGAGAGAAAGCUUAGUGGGAAAGGCCCUUUCUUUUUAUUUGGUGUCUGGUUUUCUACUCUUGCUCAUGAAAUGUUCUGAGUAGCUUCAAAUAUGUUUUAAAUUGAAUUGUGUAGAGUCCAGUACCUCUGAGAGGUAACUGAGUGCAGCCAGUCUAGGGAGAUGUGUUCUUUAUUUGUUUGCUUUGUUUUAUUUUUAAAGAAGCUGUGGAAAAAUUCUUUCAAGUGUAAGUUUAAAUGACUUUAUUACUAUUUGUUCUUAUUUGGUCGCCUAUAGUAACAUUUUUACCCUGCUUUAAUUGAAGGCUCUUGAGAUCUGUCAACAGAGAAACUUUGUAGAAGAGACAGUUUAUCUUCUGAGCCGAAUGGGUAAUAGCCGAAGUGCCCUGAAGAUGAUUAUGGAGGAAUUACAUGAUGUUGAUAAAGCAAUCGAAUUUGCCAAGGAGCAAGAUGAUGGAGAGCUGUGGGAAGAUUUGAUUUUAUAUUCCAUUGACAAACCACCAUUUAUUACUGGCUUGUUAAACAACAUUGGCACACAUGUUGACCCAAUUCUACUGAUUCACCGUAUUAAGGAAGGAAUGGAGAUCCCCAAUUUGAGAGAUUCCUUGGUUAAAAUUCUGCAAGACUACAAUUUGCAAAUUCUGCUUCGUGAAGGCUGCAAGAAGAUUCUCGUAGCUGACUCUUUGUCCUUACUGAAGAAAAUGCACCGAACUCAAAUGAAAGGUGUUCUUGUUGAUGAGGAGAACAUCUGUGAGUCGUGCCUUUCCCCUAUUCUUCCAUCAGAUGCAGCUAAGCCCUUCAGCGUGGUGGUCUUCCAUUGCCGGCACAUGUUCCACAAGGAGUGUCUGCCCAUGCCCAGCAUGAACUCUGC